UAUAGCCACACCUGCAGCCGUCAACCCCCAUACAACAGAGGCGGUAUAAAGCGAUGAUAUUAAUUUCUAAAUGUUUUUGAUCAAGGUUAAUCUAUUAAUGGCACGGGGCUUAUAAUUAUAAUCAGAUGAUCAACGUAUAGGAUAAACCGUGCUGGCAUAUGCCUAUACCCCCUGGUGGCUGAUGUUGCUGUUAUAUUGGUUGUCAAUUCCCCCCCAAAGGAGGGAAGUGAGGAGCUGUGUGUGGGCGGGUAAGAUCCGUAUGAAACGGCGAAUCAAUACUUUAUUAUGCCUCUAAGAGCUCCGCAAUCUGUCCUGAGCGCACUAGCUGACCGGGGGUUAGUUGGUUUUCUGUUGUGUAAACUAAAAGUGGCUACCUGCACACUCGGAAAUCGUGAACUUUCUUUGCACUCUGCCGGCGCCUAGCACUCGGUUCUGCAUGUCUUGGGGCAGGCUUAGAGACGGCGCACACCGACGGGACAUACGGAGUGAGACGGAUGCAUGCAAAGUGGCAGCUGAGCUGAAGCCACAUUUGCUGCACAUUUAAAUCGUACCACCACGUACCACGUUUGGCACAAUAACGGCUGACUUGAACGCACAGCAUGGGCGGAGAACCCCCUGGAGGGAGCAGCAGCAGCAGCGUCGGCGAAAGUGGACAGGAGCAGUACCAGGCUUUAGCCUUCGACACCGCCGUCAGUACUCUAGUGGCUGUAGCCGUGUACGUGGUGGUCAAAGUCAGCCUGGACGGCUUCAGACAGUGGCGCUCCAAGAUCUCCGUGUUAAUAGUGGGCUCGGGACCGAUCGGCCUGACCGCAGCGUUGGUCGCUGUCCGCUCGGGGAAGGUGCUGAAGCUGACAGUGCUCGACGAGCGGUGCCGGAGCGCCCUGCUCUGCCGGCCCCAGCAGAUCGCCCUGGACCCCCGCAGUGUGGGGUUUCUGCUGGGGUUAGGGGUGGACUUUGAUAAUAUGGAGGGGUGCUGGCACAACGAGCACUUUUUCACCAAGAUCGGGGUGUUUCAGGAGUAUUUGUUGAGCAUCUUGGAGCAGAAGAAGCAGAAGGUCGACGUCCGUGUACAGCUGGGAACCAAGUUCACCGAGGAGUACCUGCACCGCCUCCCCCGGCCCCAGUGGCCCCGGGUGCUGGUGGUGGCCGACGGGUCCUGCGGGGACUCCUGCUCCGUGCUGGGCAUCAGCUCCGACUACGCGGUGGAGUCCUGCCGGGCCUACGGCGCCAACGCCACCAUAGAGAGGCUGGACCAGAGACAGGUGCCCACCCCAGAGAUCCGGGCUCACCGGCUCUACUUUGACCUGUCGGCCUACGGGGUAGAAGCGCUCCGGGACCACAAGAACCACGCCUCCAAGCCCGGCUUCCACCUGAAGAUCUACGGAACCUUGCGGAGCCGCUACAUGGCGCUGGUGUGCCCGGCCUCCGACACCAAGAUGGUGCGCUUCCUGUGUCACACCGCCAACGCCUCGAUCAUGAAGAACAUCUUCCACCAGUCCUUCAACGCCUACAAGACGGACAUCGAGCCGCGGCUCAGCGACCUCACGCUGCACCGCCUUCAGUGCAGCCGGCGCCUCUUCGAGGUGCAGCUGUCGCACCGCCAUGUCAGCGCGGCCUACAUCCAGGGGGACAACGUGGCCGUCACCGUGGAGGGCGAGGCCGCCCGCGUCCUCAACUUCGACACAGGUUGUGGUGUGAAUCUGGGCAUGCGCGGUCUUGAGUCUCUGAAAACGUUUAUCUACAAGACGGCCACAGCUGUCGAUCAGAACGACGUUCUAGAAGCGCUGGCCGCUAAAAUCAAACACUCCCGGCAAGUAUCAGAGACCUUCAAGCAGACGGGCCUGUUAGAGUCCAUGUACGAGUAGGCCUCGAAGCUUGUGAAGAACCAAUAUCGCCACCUUGUGGUGAGAUGAGUGCUACUGCACUACAAUGUUGAUAAAAUGUCUUUACCAGUGCUGUGAUGAGUCUUAUGUUUACUGAAUCGAAAUAUGGGUAAAAAAUAUUAUUAUUAUACAGCAUAACAUACAACCAAUGGACUGCAAUUAUGUGGCGCUCUCCUAAAAUGGCCACUCAUAGCGCUUUACAAUUAUUGCGUAAUAUUCACCCAUUCAUACACACAUUUACGGUUUCACCAAAGGAAAGCUCGUCGGGAGCAGUCGGGGUGAGGCGUCUUGCUCAGGGACACCCCGACACUCAAGUCAAGUCAACCCGCUGGAACUCUUGAGCUACUGCCGCCCAACCGGGUUAGUUAAGAGACAUUAACCAACAGUUCAUCACAACUAAAAAUAUUUUCGUAAAAGAAUGUCAAGAUUAGCAGCCUUUUUCUUUUUUUGAUCCCAAUAGCAGCAAUUGUAAUUUUUUUAUUUAUUUUUUUAUUCAUUGUUCAACUAUGUUGGGGAACCUUUGUAUAGUCACUGUUUAUACACUGUCUUGAUGUUGCUCCGCUUAAAUAAACUGUCAUUGUGCUAUGCUUUUCUUAGUCACAGAUUAGAAAAAUGCAGUUUCAGGUGUUGAUGUAAUAAUUACACACUGGCCAGACAUUUAUUUGGGUUAGGAUUAGGUUAGAUAAAAUGUUCAGCAGAUCUAAAGGUGUUUUCAUUGCAGGUGUGCACCAGUUGGUGCUAUAUAAAUGGUACCUAGUUCCUAUAUAGGUCCUAUAUAUGGGACCAGAUAAUAUAUAUCUAAGUUGCAUUUAUGAGUCCUUAUAAUGGCUGGGGUCAGAGGUUAAAGUGCCACAAAAUAACUUGUCAGUGCCAGUCAUCCGAAUAAAACAAAGAUGAAGAUUGUAUUAUUUCUAUGAAAUCGGUUUAUUUGUUUAAUAAAAUUAUUUUCAGCCAUAUAUGCAUCCUUAUUUGUGUGUGGACAUUGAUCGAACAUGGGUUGUUUAUGUGGAUAAAGUUCAGCAAGAACAAUUGAUACCUUCGGUAGAUUUUUUAGUCCAAUUCCUCCACUGAAAAGGGUGGAAAGUGCUUACAACUCUCUGCUAGUUAGCGAUCUAUGACACUGUUGUUUUUUAAUUGGUCGUCUUGAAAAAAAACAUAAGGGGUAACACUGUUGUUUUUUAUUGGCCGUCAUGAAAAAAACAAAAGGGGUAACACUGUUGAUAUUUAUCAAAUAAAACAUAGGGGGUAACACUG
Molecule: long non-coding RNA, 3137 nt
Organism: Gadus morhua (Atlantic cod)
Lineage: Eukaryota; Metazoa; Chordata; Actinopteri; Gadiformes; Gadidae
Source: Ensembl